This 402-nucleotide ribosomal RNA is filed under the name uncultured bacterium. Its description in RNAcentral is "bacterial SSU rRNA". It matches the Rfam family "Bacterial small subunit ribosomal RNA", at positions 355 to 775 of the family's 1533-position model. The record is from RNAcentral.
UAGGGAAUAUUAGUAAUGGGCGAAAGCCUGAACUAGCAACGCCGCGUGUGCGAAGAAGGCCUUCGGGUUGUAAAGCACUUUUGAGAGGAUGAGGAAGGACGGUACUCUCAGAAUAAGUCUCGGCUAACUACGUGCCAGCAGCCGCGGUAACAAGUAGGAGGCGAACGUUAUUCGGAUUUACUGGGCGUAAAGCGCGUGUAGGUGGUUUGGUAAGUAGGGCGUGAAAGCUCCUGGCUCAACUGGGAGAGGCCGUUCUAAACUGCCGAACUAGAGGAUGGUAGAGGGAGGUGGAAUUCCGGGUGUAGCGGUGGAAUGCGCAGAUAUCCGGAGGAACACCAGUGGCGAAAGCGGCCUCCUGGACCAUUCCUGACACUCAGACGCGAAAGCUAGGGUAGCAAACGG